GGCGGGUCUCCCCGCAUAGCUAGAAGGUGAACUUGGUCAGGUCCGGAAGGAAGCAGCCACAGCUUUUGAUGCUAGUGCCGGGGGUUAGGCUCGCCACC
This is a non-coding RNA of Janthinobacterium sp. B9-8, 98 nucleotides long. NCBI's taxonomy places the organism in Bacteria, Pseudomonadati, Pseudomonadota, Betaproteobacteria, Burkholderiales, Oxalobacteraceae. The record is from Rfam.